CAGAGUAUAGCUUAGACCAGAAAAGCACCUCCCUUACACCGAGGAGACACCCGUGCAAACCGAGUUACCCUGAC
RNAcentral lists this transfer RNA (74 nucleotides) under Arothron sp. gr48. Its description in RNAcentral is "tRNA-Val". It matches the Rfam family "tRNA". From Rfam's summary of the family: Transfer RNA (tRNA) molecules are approximately 80 nucleotides in length. Their secondary structure includes four short double-helical elements and three loops (D, anti-codon, and T loops). Further hydrogen bonds mediate the characteristic L-shaped molecular structure. tRNAs have two regions of fundamental functional importance: the anti-codon, which is responsible for specific mRNA codon recognition, and the 3' end, to which the tRNAs corresponding amino acid is attached (by aminoacyl-tRNA synthetases). tRNAs cope with the degeneracy of the genetic code in two manners: having more than one tRNA (with a specific anti-codon) for a particular amino acid; and 'wobble' base-pairing, i.e. permitting non-standard base-pairing at the 3rd anti-codon position. The record is from RNAcentral. Lineage: Eukaryota; Metazoa; Chordata; Actinopteri; Tetraodontiformes; Tetraodontidae.